RNAcentral lists this ribosomal RNA (469 nucleotides) under uncultured bacterium. RNAcentral's name for it is "bacterial SSU rRNA". It matches the Rfam family "Bacterial small subunit ribosomal RNA", at positions 38 to 526 of the family's 1533-position model. The record is from RNAcentral.
GGCGGCGUGCAUGAGACAUGCAAGUCGAACGGACACUUGGGGCUUGCUCCAAGUGUUAGUGGCGGACGGCUGAGUAACGCGUAGGUGACCUGCCCCGAAGUGGGGAAUAACUGCCCGAAAGGGUGGCUAAUACCGCAUGUGGUGGUGUGUUCAUUCACACCAGUAAAGCCGCAAGGCGCUUCGGGAGGGGCCUGCGUCCGAUUAGCUAGUUGGUGAGGUAACGGCUCACCAAGGCGACGAUCAGUAGCUGGUCUGAGAGGAUGAUCAGCCACAUUGGGACUGAGACACGGCCCAAACUCCUACGGGAGGCAGCAGUGGGGAAUAUUGGACAAUGGGCGCAAGCCUGAUCCAGCCAUGCCGCGUGAGUGAUGAAGGCCCUAGGGUUGUAAAGCUCUUUUGUGCGGGAAGAUAAUGACGGUACCGCAAGAAUAAGCCCCGGCUAACUUCGUGCCAGCAGCCGCGGUAAUAC